CAGCCGCCACGGGAAUACGAAGGGGGCUAGCGUUGUUCGGAAUUACUGGGCGUAAAGCGCACGUAGGCGGAUAUUUAAGUCAGGGGUGAAAUCCCAGAGCUCAACUCUGGAACUGCCUUUGACGCUGGGUAUCUUGAGUAUGGAAGAGGUGAGUGGAAUUCCGAGUGUAGAGGUGAAAUUCGUAGAUAUUCGGAGGAACACCAGUGGCGAAGGCGGCUCACUGGUCCAUUACUGACGCUGAGGUGCGAAAGCGUGGGGAGCAAACAGGAUUAGAUACCCGUGUAGUCCCUGUCUCUUAUAC
Molecule: ribosomal RNA, 301 nt
Filed under: uncultured bacterium
Lineage: Bacteria
Description: partial 16S ribosomal RNA
Rfam family: Bacterial small subunit ribosomal RNA
Source: RNAcentral